Molecule: long non-coding RNA, 1274 nt
Filed under: Cyanistes caeruleus (blue tit)
Lineage: Eukaryota; Metazoa; Chordata; Aves; Passeriformes; Paridae
Description: lncRNA (ENSCCEG00000015026.1)
Source: RNAcentral
CCCAUGAUCAUUUGGCUUUGGAUGUUUAGAAUAAGUGAAAUGUUUUGACAUAAUUCUAAUACUUUUUAUCCAGGAUUUACAAACAGCAACUGCCUUUCUAUGGAAGUCUGAGAAGUCUUGCAGAGAUUGAUGAGUUUUCCACAUGUGGCUGAACUGAGGAACAGAAAGUUUGGCUACUUUCAGAGGAGUAAGGAGGAAAUGGAUGAUCACAACACAAGUGGAAACAAUCUACAUGAGCCUGAGGACCCUUUGGCCCACCCACUGCACACUAUUCUGUGGAAAUUGUGAGUGGCUACUACGUUUUGGAUGAACUUCUUUAUUUGGAUGAGCUUCUUUAUUCACUGUUUAUUCUCCUCUGAGUAAAUUCUUUCUCUUAAACCUAGAAAGCAGCCAUGGGUAUGAAGCCAGUUAGGCUGCUAUCAGUAGAAGAUACUGCUGAAAAUGUUUAUUGAUAAAGGAAGAUCCUGCUGAUUAGCCAAGUGAGCCAGAAAACAAGGGCUAAUCUUGGGUACAGGACAUGGAAUUACACUAUAAACUGCAAGUUAAAUGCUAAAACAGAAAAAAAUCUCUUUGGAUCACUUAAUGAACGACUAUAUAAAACACAGAUCUUUUUAUGAAUUCAUGUAGAGUCAAGUGAUACCGAUGCACUUGCACAAAUUUUUUUUGCUUUUCCACGGCACAUAAAUAGCUCUUCGUUACUUAUCCAGCUUUUGUUCCCUGCCCUCAAUACUAUUUGAUUUCAAGAAGGAAUUCUACAUCAAGAACAAAAAGGGUCUCUACCAGCCUUUGAAAUGGAAAUGUAGAAGUCUCAGUGUGAAAUUGUAAAAGUCCUUGAUAUGCAAUCUGCUUGACCCAAAGACCAUCUGAGAAGUGCAUGUGUUGGGAACCCUGGUGAUAUAUAUACCACCAUAAAACAGCUCACUUCUACCAGUGGUCUCUGCUGUUACAAAUCACUAUGUGUUUUAAAAUAAGUGCUUUGCUCUGAUGGUGUAGAUAUGUGUAGAUUUAUUAUAAGAAAGGCAACUGGAAAUCAAAUAUUUAUUGCCUAAUUAUUCUGAAUAUUCAUGAAAUCUAAGUGAACACAUAAGGCAAUAAUAUGCUCUUAAAAAUGUGUGAAACAUCUUUUGGCUCCUUUAUGAACUCCCAAGAGCAGGACUGAUAGGGAAAAGCAUACUACUUCUUUUGUCCUAUAAUUUGUCCUGAGGAAGGUUUAGUCCCAUAAAACUAUGAGUGCUUGCCAGUGUUUUCAACUUAGGGAUGAAAAAAAAAAAACC